Molecule: long non-coding RNA, 13184 nt
Filed under: Podarcis lilfordi (Lilford's wall lizard)
Lineage: Eukaryota; Metazoa; Chordata; Lepidosauria; Squamata; Lacertidae
Source: RNAcentral
AAAGAGAAAGUAGUUAGAGCAACGCGUCAUGAGAGACGGGUCGCUUUGUUUAUUCUGCAUGCAAUCUUGUCAGAAGAAAAUAAAGAAAGGAAUUUAUGGCUGCCUGCCGGGAGUGUUUUUCUGCUAAGUGCAGCAACGCAUGCAGCUGGCUAACUGACAGUUUGCUCUAACUCAAAACACCCAGCUAACGAGCACUCGAGAGGAGAGUGUCGGCAAGGAGAAAGCAGGAUGGAAGCUCGCCUUGCACAGCUGGAAAAAGAGAGGAAUGAUUUAUUGGCUACAUCACAGGAAUUAAGGAUUCGUUUGGAAGAAGCCAGGGCCAGAUCUGAAGGAGCUUCUGGAGGGGGCUUACUGAACUGGUCUUUGACGCUGGUAAGCAAAUUCAAUGGGGACCCCAGAUUAUACACGGGCUUCAAACUUGACAUGCAGUAUGCCCUGGAACUACAAGGAGCUGCUUUUGCUGGAGAUGCUGACAAGGUGGGGUUCCUUAUAGGCCAUUUGACGGGGGCAGAGCGAGAUUGGGUACGCCCACUGCUUGCUAGCCACAAUGCUGAGCUCAGCGAUCUCAAACAAUUCUGGGAAGCCAUGGACAUUAUGUUUUCAUUUGGAUCUGAGGAGGAUGUGACUCAGCAGCAGCUGUUGGAUCUCCGGCAGGGGAACUCAACUGUGAGGGAGUACUGGUCCCAAUUUGCGAUGCUGGUCCACAAGCUUGAUUGGAGCUUAGACUCUCAACCUGUGCAAGCUCUGUUUAAGGCCGGACUGAAUUCUCAGGUGAACGAUGAGCUUGCCAGGGGCCCCGACACCAGGACUUGAAUUCCCUCGUUAAGGCUGCUCUGGCAGUGGGCAGCAGGCAGGAACUGAGGCAGCUAGAUUAGGCUGAGAGGAAAGGCCGGCGUUCCCAUGGUGAUCGCAUUCCUGGCAUACCAAGUGAGGGAGAGCAAGGUCACUCUCGCUCAGAGCCGAUGGAAAUUGACUCUGCCCGCACACGGGAAGAUUCAAAGGCUCAACGGCCAACUCACAAGGCAGCAGAAAACGGGCAGGCUGCCAAGAAAUGCUUUAUCUGCCAGAAACCAGGGCACUUUGCCAGAGUGUGUCCUGAACGUCGCAACUGGCAGGGAAUGGUGGGGCUUCCUCCCAGAUGGGAGAGGGGAGUCCAAAAGCAGGGAAACGCCAGUGCCUGGCUGGGAAUGGGGCGGGGCAGCAGCCAGGCAGGAAGGAAACUGAACCAGAGCCCCGACCAGGACGUCCCCAACCAGGCAUAAUUGUGAGGGUGUUGCUGGAUCUCCCCAAUGGAUUGGCUAUGGAGGUCCAUGCCCUGUUGGACUCAGGAGCGAGUGCCAAUUUCUUCAGCAGGGACUUCGCUGCGCAGCACCAAUUGCAUUUACUACCUUUGGACUUUCCGUUACAAGUGACCACCAUUGAUGGGAGGAACUUUUGGGAGGGAAGUGACCCAUCAAACCCCCCAUGAGAAUGAGGAUUUCAACGCAUUCCAAAACGAUUGCUUUCCAUGUGGCCACGCUGGCGGGCCCACCCAUCAUUUUGGGCAUGAGUUGGUUGGCCAUGCACGAUCCGGUGGUCUCCUGGCAUCAGCGUAACCUGACGUUUGGAUCGGCGUAUUGCUUGGAGAACUGUUUGGGGGUAAAGGAUCCGCAAGUUGGUAGUGCCAGAGUGGCAGCUACGUGUGCAGGAGAGAAGGGCGGCAUUCCUCCAGAAUAUAUGGACUUGGCAGAGGUUUUCAGCGAAAGAGAGGCAGACACGCUGCCGCCGCACAGGCCUUACAAUUGUCAGAUCAACUUGAUCCCGGGGGCCAAGUUACCGGCAGGAAAACUGUACUCUAUGUCCAAUCAGGAGAUGGAGGACUUAAGAGCAUUUAUAGACAAGAACUUAAGGAGAGGUUUCAUUAGGGAGUCUAGGGCAGUAGGCGGAAGCCCCGUGUUCUUUGUGGACAAAAAGGCAACGUGAGAGAAACGUCUCAUCGUAGAUGUCAGGGGUUCAGGAGCAGAGGCAAGGGCAAGGGAGGAAACAGAGAGCGAGGGGGAGGAGGCAGAAGAAAAGAUGAGUGAUGACGACGACCCGAGAUCUCCGAGUCUUUCCAGUGAAUCAGAAGAUUCACAGAAAGGAGCACCAGUGGCCAGGGCAAGGGGGAGCCUAGGGGACGCCCCAGGAAGAUAGAGCCAGAGGGGACUCAGAGGGGAGCAGUUGGAAAUCGGGACCAGCGUCACCGCCAGAGAGCAGGGAAGAGGAAGGGAGCCAGGGAUCAAGCGCUGGCAGCUCACAACAGGGGGGAGGGCACGAGUCAGGGUGGCCACACCUCCAUCGGGGAGCGAAGAAACGGUCAGACGGAAGGUGGAAGGUUGGGCGCGCGCGCCAAGUUCAAAUGCACAGGAAGGUGGCACAGUAGGCAGCCCGGAAGGGAGCCAGGUCCUAAAGCCCGCCGAAAGGAGGGAGAAGAGUCAGGGGGGUCAGCGUCAGCGUCAGAGGAAUCCCGGAAAGAAGAGACCCCAGGGGGCAGAGGGACCCAGAGAAGAACAGUCAGGCGGAAAAGGUGGAGCAGGGCUAGGAUAUUAAGUUGGUGUACAAGGGCGGAGACUCAGACGGAGCUUCGCCGGUCUAACCAUGAGACGUAGAGUUGCACGCAGCAGUUUGAGAAUGGAAACUGUAACUCAAUAAAGACUUUUGUUUAAUGAUCGCUGGCUAGCGUGAUCCUCUGUGAGCUAGGAUCUGGAAGCAGCUCUGACAGUAAGCUCCGUCUCAAUAAAUUGUGGGCAUCUACAGCCUCGCGGAGAGGAGAGAAAGCGGGUGCCUACUAGCGAGCUCACGAAAGGCAGACAAUAUGACGGCCGAACAGCAGAUAGCGGAACUCAGAGAAGCAGUGUCACGACUGAAUGCCGAGGCUCUUGCAUCCAGGAAGAGAGAGGAGGACGCAGCUGCCGCCUACAGGGAUCUCCAGGUCAGGUUGGAAGUGCUUACGAAGCAAGGGCAACUGACACCCAAACCGGAGGGAUUGGGUUGGGGAGACGAACAGGCGGUCUGGUCUCUCACUUCGAUGGGAAUUUGCAACAGUACCCCAACUUUAGAGCAGAUGUAAUGUGUGCACUGCAACUGCUGGACAAAGACUUUAGAGAUGAGCAAGAGAAGGUGGGAUUCAUCAUGUCCCAUUUGCAUGGAGAUGCUAAAGCAUGGCUGCGCAAUUUGUGGAGAGAUAAGGAUCCGGCGCUCCAAAAUGCGGAUGCCUUUAUUAAAGCGAUGGAUGGGUGCUUUUUAUCAAGCAUUGACGUGGAUCUUGCUCGGCAGCAGAUACAUGGACUGAAGCAAGGGAGGGCCAGCGUAAGGCAGUACCAUGCCCGCUUUUUCGCUUUGGUCAGUGCUCUGGAAUGGGACAGAGAUUCGGCUCCUGUAAGAGACCUGUUUUGGGAGGGAUUGCACGGCUCGGUUAAAGAUGAAAUUGCGAGGGGAGAGACCCCGGACCACGCAGGAGAUCGUUCAGAGGGCGCUGGCGGUGGGGGUGCGGCUGGAAGAACGUCCGUGGAGCAGGGACGAAGGGCGUGGAGGGCGCGAACCAGCCAGGGGCUCCUCCUUCCUUCCCAGAGAAGCAGCGCGUGCGCAAUCCACGCCUCCGCCAGGAGGAGGAGCGGAACCUAUGGAGGUUGGAGGUGCAAGGGCUCAGUCAGCAGCCAGAGCCCUAGCACCGGCAGCAGUGAGCGAAGCCUCCUAGAGGGAACAGGAAGUGUUACAUCUGCGAUGCUCCACAGCAUAUGGCGAAAGAGUGUCCCCAGAGGCUCCACAAGCACACUGCAGCUUCAGCAAUGGUAACUGCAGCAACGCAGCAAGGAGAACCACAGCAGGGAAACGACGGAGUCUGGUUGGAGGAAGAGGCACUGGGGCCCAGCCAGACGUGUCAGUGAAGCAGUCCCCAGAGAUUUUACAGCCCAUGGACCCCCUCCCGCCCAAACCAGUAGUGAGGCUCACCGCGUCGCUCCAGCUGCCCAAUGGAAUCACCAUGGACGUGCCAAUCACCAUUGACUCCGGAAGCAAUGCGGACUUUAUAGGGCAGGACUUUGUCGACCGGCACGCUAUACAGUUGCUGCCUGCCACGCUGCCCCUGCAGGUUGUCACGGUGGAUGGCAGGGAGCUGCUAGGGGGGCAAGUGGUGAAGCAGACGCCACCAAUGGUGAUGCGGCUUGGGAAUCACAGGGAAAUCAUCAGCUUCAAUGUCACUCAACUAUCGGACACGCCCAUUGUAUUGGGCAUGAGUUGGCUGGACAAGCACAGCCCGACGCUGGCUUGGUACCAGAGGCAGCUGACCUUCGGCUCUUCCUUUUGCGCUGAACACUGCAUCGUGCCCCGGCAGGAAGGAGAGGAAGAGGAGUCACAGCUGCAGCUAGGCACGCUGCAAGCGGUUCCCCACAAGUACGCAGAAUUUUUGGAGGUUUUCUGCGAGAAGGAGGCAGACAGGCUACACCCCCCACAGACCAUAUGACUGCAAAAUUGACCUGCUGCCGGGGGCGGCGCUGCCCAAAGGGAAGCUGUAUUCCAUGUCUGAGGACGAACUGCAGGAACUCAAAGAGUUCAUAGAUCAUAAUUUGGAGCGCGGUUUCAUCCGAGAGUCCAAGGCAGCAGGGGGCAGUCCGGUAUUCUUUGUUAAGAAGCGGGACACGCCCCAGAAAAGACUUGUAGUGGACUAUCGCAUUUUGAACAGCGUGACCAAGCCAUCGGACUUCCCCAUGCCCCGAAUCGACGACCUCCUCGCAAAGGUACGGAAGGGCAGCGUGUUCACUAAGUUGGACCUGCGAGUGCACAACAACCUCAUACGCAUGCGGGAAGGAGAUGAGUGGAAGACAGCCAUGUUCACGCCCCUGGGCACCUACGAAUAUAGAGUUAUGCCUUUUGGAUUGCAAAAUGGUUCCCACUUUUUCAAGCGUUCAUGCAUCACGUGUUGGCGGGGCUCCUCUACAAGACGUGCGUCUGUUUCUUGGAUGACAUCCUGAUCUUUUCGGAAUCGCAGCAGGAGCAUGACAGACACGUCAAGGAAGUGCUGAGCAGGCUACAGCAACAUAGGCUUUACGCCAAGCUGGAGAAGUGCCAAUUCGACGUGACGGAGGUGGAUUUCCUGGGCUACAAGUUGUCUGAUAAAGGGCUCGCCAUGGACAGCGCCAAGGUCCGAGCAGUGUUGGAUUGGAAAAGCCCACGCAACCGGAAGGAGGUCCAACGGUUUGUCGGCUUUGCGAACUUCUAUCGCAAGUUUAUCAAAGGCUUUGCCAUGCAGACAGCGGCCAUCACGGACACGCUCAGCUCCAAGAAAAGAAGUUCAUCUGGACAGAGCAGGCGGAGCAGUCCUUUCCAGGCACUCAAGCGUCUCUUCGCGUCGGAAGGGCAACUGCUUCAUGUCAACCCCAGCAAGCCGAUGAGGGUGGAGACAGACGCUUCGGACAGAGCCGUGGGAGCAGUCCUGCUGCAGAAGGACCCGCAGGGGUUUGGAGGCCGGGAGCGUUUUACUCAAGGAAGCUCAGCAAGUCCGAACAGAACUACACCAUCUGGGACAGGGAGUUGCUGGCCAUUCAUGCAGCGUUCAAAGCGUGGAGGCACUUCCUGAUCGGCGCCAAGCACACGGUGCAGGUCUGCACGGACCACAAGAAUCUAGAGCACUGGCGCACGGCACAGUUCCUGAACCAGAGGCAGAUACGUUGGGCUGAGUUCUUUGCGAAUUUCGACUUCCGAAUAGAGUAUGUCCCGGGGGACACCAACAUCAUGGCGGAUGCUCUCUCCCGUAAGCCGCAGUAUCUGGAGGAGGCAACGCCAGCGGCCGCCAUGCACAUCUUCGCACCGACAGUGUGGGCGUGCACGGCGGCAACAGUUGACCUGGAGGCGGUGCGACGAGCGUUGCAGGAUGACUCCUUCGCGCAAGCAAAGAUGGCAGAGGCGCACAGGGGCACGGCAGCGACCGACGAGUUCCAGCUGCGAGAUGGUUUGCUCAUCCGUAAAGGGGCCAUCUACGUGCCGGGAGACGAACUUCGCGCCAAGGUACUGCAGCAGCUGCACGACGCGCCCACUGCCGGGCACUUUGGCAAGGAGAAGACGGUGGAAUUAGUAGCCAGAGACUUCUGGUGGCCAGGAAUGAGAGGGAAGUCGCGGACUACGUGGCGAGGUGUGACACCUGCCAGAGGGCCAAACCAGUGCACAGACCGCCGGCCGGAUUGCUGGAACCGCUGCAAACUCCGUUCGAACCAUGGGAGAGAGUGGCCCUGGACUUUGUCACGGAUCUGCCCAGCUCGAGGGGCAAGACGGCUGUGCUGGUGGUGGUGGACUUGUUCUCCAAGAUGGCACAUUUCAUUCCGUGUGCGAAGGUGGCCACGGCGGAACAAACCGCCAAACUGUUCAUAGACCACGUGUUCAAGGUUCACGGUCUGCCGCGGUCUAUUCUGUCCGACCGGGGCGACAGUUCAUCUCGAACUUCUGGCAGAGGCUGAUGGGCUUCCUGAACGUCAAGAUCAACCUGGCGUCGGCUAGACACCCGCAGACCAAUGGGCAAGCGGAGCGGAGUCAAUGCCAUCAUGCAGCAGUACCUGAGAUGUUAUGCGAAUCAACAGCCUGCGACGUGGGUGGAUUACCUGCCUCUCGCCGAGUUCGCCUACAACAACACGAAGCACGUGUCCACGGGGGUCACGCCGUUCUUCGCCAACAACGGGAGGCACCCCAGAACCUUCCCGGGACUGGAAAGAAUGGGGGAGGGAGCCGCAGACAGCAGAUGCAUUCGCGUCGGAGUUGCAGGAGGUCCACGAUCAGCUGCGGCGGCACCUGGAGCUGGCUAAACACGCAUACAAGGUACAAGCGGACAAACACAGAAGGGUUGGCGAAGAGAUCCAUGUGGGAGACUGGGUCUGGUUAGCAGCCCACGCAGUUCGGCCAGGUCGUUGGCGAAGAAGAAACUAGGGCAUAAACAACUGGGGCCCUACCAAGUCGAAGAACAGGUCAACCCGGUGGCUUUCAGGCUGGCUCUUCCGGAGGGUUCCAGGAUGCAUCCGGUGUUCCACAGAUCGGUGCUCACUCCAUACAAGGCACCUCACAGGUUUCAGGAACCAGGAACGGCACCGGGUCCGCUCCGAGAGAGAACCGGGUGGGGGAGUGGCACGGGAGGAGCGCAUCAACGAAGCCACGGAGAUUUUGGACUCCAGAUGGGGGAAGAGGGGGUAGAAUACCUUCUCGCCAAGGAGGGCACCCCGGCCAGUGCCAACAGCUGGGUGCCGGGCUACGCUUUAGACGAACCUCUGCUCAAAGAAGAGUUUCAUGCCCUCUUCCCACAUAGGCCAAUGCCAGCAGACUUUUUCGACGACUGGCUUUUCACGCCCACGCUUUCAGCCAGCACGUUCCGGGGUUCGACUCGGACGAGGAACCGACACGAGACGCCCGUUCCCCGGAGGAGUCACCCUCGGGAUCUGCUUCAGAACCCUCGUAUUGGUGGGAUGAUCGACCAGAGGAGCAGUUCCGCAGAAGGUGGCUGGAGGGUCCAGGACGAGCAACGUCUCCAGAAGGUAACGAGGGAGAGACGGACAUGGACGUUUUCGGGGACGACCCGGGUUUCGAGCACGGCGGCACAGAGAUGGAAGCGGAGGUGACCGUCGUCAACGAGAGCAGGGAGGAAGAACCGGAAGACUUCAGAUGGCGGCCCGCCACGGGAAGCGAACUGUAUCCGACAUUCGUCCCCUGACACGGCAGCACCCAGAUCCCGCACCGGAAGGAGGGAGGGGGAAGAGGGGGCUUCGAGGGGGAUGGAUGUCAGGGGUUCAGGAGCAGAGGCAAGGGCAAGGGAGGAAACAGAGAGCGAGGGGAGGAGGCAGAAGAAAAGAUGAGUGAUGACGACGACCCGAGAUCUCGAGUCUUUCCAGUGAAUCAGAAGAUUCACAGAAAGGAGCACCAGUGGCCAGGGCAAGGGGAGCCUAGGGGACGCCCCAGGAAGAUAGAGCCAGAGGGGACUCAGAGGGAGCAGUUGGAAAUCGGGACCAGCGUCACCGCCAGAGAGCAGGGAAGAGGAAGGGAGCCAGGGAUCAAGCGCUGGCAGCUCACAACAGGGGAGAGGGCCCGAGUCAGGAGUGGCCACACCUCCAUCGGGGAGCGAAGAAACGGUCAGACGGAAGGGGGACGGUUGGGCGCGCGCGCCAAGUUCAAAUGCACAGGAAGGUGGCACAGUAGGCAGCCCGGAAAGGGAGCCAGGUCCUAAAGCCCGCCGAAAGGAGGGAGAAGAGUCAGGGGGGGUCAGCGUCAGCGUCAGAGGAAUCCCGGAAAGAAGAGACCCCAGGGGGCAGAGGGACCCAGAGAAGAACAGUCAGGCGGAAAAGGUGGAGCAGGGCUAGGAUAUUUAGUUGGUGUACAAAGGGCGGAGACUCAGACGGAGCUUCGCCGGUCUAACCAUGAGACGUAGAGUUGCACGCAGCAGUUUGAGAAUGGAAACUGUAACUCAAUAAAGACUUUUGUUUAAUGAUCGCUGGCUAGCGUGAUCCUCUGUGAGCUAGGAUCUGGAAGCAGCUCUGACAGUAGACUUUAGGCGAAUCAACGCCCAGACCCUCCCCAUGGCCUUCCCAAUGCCAAGAAUUGAUGGCGUAUUGGCGAGGGUGCGAAAGGGGAAAAUUUUCACCAAACUGGAUUUGAGAGGAGCCUACAAUCUCAUCAGGGUGCGAGAGGGGGACGAGUGGAAGACAACCAUGUUCACACCACUAGGGGCAUUUGAAUAUCUUGUUAUGCCCUUCGGUUUACAGUGUGGUAGUCCGUGCUUCCAAGCCUUCAUGCACCACGUGUUGGGACCUUUGUUCUACAAAAACUGUGCUGCAUUUUUGGAUGACAUACUUAUUUAUUCUCCAGACGAAGAACAGCACGUGAAGGACAUGCGAGAAGUUCUAGCUCAGCUCAAGGAGCAUCGCCUAUGGGUGAAACUGGAGAAGUGUCAGUUUCACACAAGAGAGGUCGAGUUCCUGGGCUAUAGGCUGUCGGACAGGGGUCUGGCAAUGGACCCGGAGAAGGUCAAAGCGGUGGUGGAGUGGAAAAGCCCCAAAACGAGGAAGGAUGUUCAGCGGUUCCUGGGCUUCAGUAACUUCUACCGGAAAUUCAUCAAGGACUUCGCACGGCUGGCGACCCCCAUAACGGAUUGCCUCAGUGGCAAGAAGAAGUUUGAGUGGACAGAUGAGGCGCAGAGGGCCUUUGAGAGUCUAAAGAGAGUCUUUGCCUCCGAGGAACAACUGCUGCAUGUCAACCCUGAACUACCACUACGGGUGGAGACAGAUGCGUCUGAUCGAGCGAUUGGAGCAGUUCUCAUGCAGCAAGAUGGGGAGGGGGAAUGGCAUCCGUGUGCCUUUUUUCCCCGGAAGCUCAAUAAAUCGGAAGUGAACUAUAGUAUCUAUGAUAAGGAAUUGCUUGCUAUUGUGUCUGCAUUCAAGCAAUGGCGACAUUUUUUUGAUUGGAGCGAAGCAUCAGAUACAGGUGUGCACGGAUCACAAGAAUUUGGAGUACUGGCGGAUUGCAAGAGUGAUGUGCCAGAGGCAAAUACGCUGGGCACAGUUCUUUGCCAACUUCAACUUCAGGAUUCAGUACGUACCGGGUGAGCAGAAUGUGAGGGCGGACGCUUUAUCCCGUAAACCCGAGUAUUUGGCAGAGGAAGGACCGCUGACAACCCGGUUCAUGUUCCCCGAGCAGAGGUGGGCUUGCGGGGCAACAUUGGUGAAGGACAACGAACUGCUACGCUUGAUGCGGGACGAUGCUUUUGCCAGAGGAAAGUUGGAUGAACUUGGGCAAGAGAGAGGGGCUGAGGGAGGUUUCGAGGGAAAAAGGGGGCUACUGUUUUAUCGAGGGGCUUUGUAUGUGCCAGGGAAGCUCUCCGGGCCCGAAUCCUCCGACAACUGCAUGACAGCUCGACGGCAGGACACUUUGGGCAACAUAAGACCAUGUUGUUGGUCACCAGGGAAUUUUGGUGGCCUAAGGUGUGGGAAGAUGUGAAGGAAUAUGUGCGAGGGUGUGAGACCUGUCAGAGAGCCAAAGGGGAGAGGGCAGCUCCAGCAGGGUUAUUAGAGCCUUUGCCAACACCAGGGAGGCCAUGGGAGGUGGUAUCAGUAGACUUCAUCACUGACCUGCCCCGGUCCAGGGGGGAAACGGCGGUGUUGGUGGAUCUAUUCACCAAAAUGUGCCAUUUUGUGGCAUGUUCUCAUGCGGUAACUGCGGAGGAGACAGCCAAAUUGUUUGUGGAGCACAUGUUUAAGUUGCAUGGGGUCCCUUCGAGGGUCAUUUUGGAUAGGGGGACACAAUUUACCUCAAGGUUCUGGUGCAAACUCAUGAGUUUGUUGCAAGUUGAGGUAAGUUUCACCACUGCCAGACAUCCCGAAAGCAAUGGGCAGGCGGAAAGGGUCAAUGCAGUAUUACAGCAGUACCUGCAUUGUUAUGUGGGGGAGAGGCAGAACGAUUGGGUGGACAAAUUAGCGCUGGUGGAGUUUGCAUACAACAACUCCGAGAAUGUGUCCACAGGGAUGACUCCGUUUUUUGCUAAUCACGGGUGCCAUCCUAGGGCUGUCCCGGGGAGGGGAGGAAUCGUGGAGUGUGCCAGCCGCUGAACAGGAGGAAAUGGAAGCAAUUCAACAACAACUGAAGUUGAACUUGGAAAGGGCCAAGGAGGUAUACAAGAGGCAAGCAGACAAGCAUCGGAGGGAAGGGGAAACCCUCUGGGUGGGGGAUAAGGUGUGGUUAUCAACGCAAGGCUUGCCUUGGAAAGGGGGUUGUAAGAAACUCAAACCCAGGAGGGUGGGCCCCUUUGAAAUCAUACAGCAAGUCAACCCGGUGGCCUUUAGGUUGAGGCUGCCAGAGAGCAUGAAAAUUCAUCCAGUGUUCCACCGGUCGCUAUUGUCGGCUUACCAGCCGGGCAGAAGGGAAGGGGAGGUGCCACCGCCAGAAGUCGAGGAAAGGGAGCGGGGACACCAGAUAGAGGAAAUAUUGGACUCGCGUUGGAAGGGUAAUCAGCUGGAGUAUCUUGUAGCUUGGGAGGGGGCUCCCAGCUUGGAUAACACAUGGGUGCCGUCAGAUUGGGUCACGGAGGAGGGUUUAGUGGAGGACUUCCACGAGCUAUUUCCACAUAAGCCACAACCAGCAGGGAGGUUCACUGAGAGGGCGUUUGGGCCGACGGACGAUGAAGAGGAUUUUGAAGGGUUCUCUGCCUCGGACCAAGAGGAAACACAGGGGGGAGGAGGAGUGAGUGAAGAGCGUCCGGGUCCAUCAGGUGUUAGAGGUUGGGGUAACGUUUUUGAUGAUACCGAAGAAGAGGAGGAGGAGGAGGAGGAGGAGGAGAUUUUCCUAGGAUUUACCCCCACGAAGCAUAAGGAGAAUGCAUCGGGGGAGGCUUCUCCUCAGGAAAGGGAGGUGAGGGGGGCCCUUGAGGAGGGGGUGGAUGUCAGGGAACCGCAGGCAGCGAGGGAGGAAAGAAUUAGAGGAUACAGGGAACGAUCUCCACUGCUCAGUACUGAGUCCUCCUCAGAAGACAGAGAAGAGGAUAGUGAGUCUGGGGAGGAAGGGGUGCUUCAGAGAGAAGGGGAUCCACGUCACAGGGGAAACAGAAGGGGCUGAGCCGUUGGCUCUGUUGGUCUCGAGGGAGAGGGAAAGAGAAAGUAGUUAGAGCAACGCGUCAUGAGAGACGGGUCGCUUUGUUUAUUCUGCAUGUAAUCUUGUCAGAAGAAAAUAAAGAAAGGAAUUUAUGGCUGGCUGCCGAGAGUGUUUUUCUGCUAAGUGCAGGAACGCAUGCAGCUGGCUAGCUGACAGCUAGUGAGCUUUGGAGGGAGUGUUGGGAGGAGGUUUUGGAGUAGGUUGGGAUUUAGGUUGGGAGGAUAGGUAGGAAGAGAGGGAGUAAGAGUUGGUUCUGGGUAGAAACAUUGACUCUGAGGAAAAGAUCACAAACUAAAGAAAGGAGUUUCUGAGCUUAGUGUGAAGGAGAGUGUGUGGUGUCCUAUAAGAGUAAUUAGGCCAGGAAUUAACUGGGAGGCUGAAGCUGAGACAAGAGAAGUAGAAACUGUAAAGAGACAGUCUACUUAGGUCUCAUUCCAGUCAGGAGGGGAGAGAUUCUUCUAGUAAGAGAAGACUCCCAAACCAGUGAAACCUUGGGUCUAUUACUUGGAGUACCUCAGGAGUAGGGUUGUCUAAGGGGUGUGUAACUGACAGAAAGUACCAAAGAACGAAACUAUUAAGUGUGAAACAACUGAGAAAACCUUGAAGUGAAAUAACAUUGUAAACUGAAAUAUCCUAAGUUUUAUCCACUCGUGUCACAAAGUUCCCUGUUAAAUAAAAUUGUUAUUGUUUAUUUGAUCAAAUCCUGCCUGAGACUCCAAAUUAUUGAGUUUUCCCUCACAUAAUUCCCCCGCAAGAUAAUCUGAGGUAGUUUGUGGGAAUUCAUGGAAGUGGUGUUCUGUAAGAUGGGUGCACUAUAUUCAAGUGAAGGGCGGGCCCAACUGUGUGCCAUUGUGCCGUCGGACACACUCCUUCCUCUGCCCAUGCUUGUCUUGUGCUUUCUGGACAUAGGUUUUGCCUUUACCCUGCUGCUUUCCCCUGGAAAACCAACUCAAAACCAACCAACUAAAUCAGAACAAAUAGCAUUCUGUAGAAAACCCAGUUGCUGUUUGUUCCAGUUCAGGAGGAUUGCUCUUAAUAGGUAGACUUCCCGUUGACCGCUUAAACUGAUCAUCAGCAUGAACAGAAAGACUGACCCUGCAGCUGACACAAAUGCCUCACUUGGAAAUGUUGUGGAGCUUUUAAAGAAGAUCCACCUCACUUGUAGUUAGUUAUACAAGCAACAGUCAUGUGGCUUCCCUUGCUUCAUUUUUUGCUCUUAUUCUGACUUUUAGGGUUGCUUGGAGGAAUAAUUGCAAAGGAAAAGAUCUCUCUGGGUGGACAAAAGGUUGCAAUCUCUGAGUUCCAUGGUCCUGAAUGAAUUCCAGCAUUUCUCUUGAGAUCCCCUUUGAUGAAACAUCUACCUACUGCCAUAUAAUCAAACUCCAGCUGCUUCUUUCUGGGCUAGCAUUUGCAUGUUGUGCCCCACCCCAUGGCCCUCUUUCUAGAUGAGGGAAAGUGAUUAUUAUUUUUAAGUGUGUCUGGGGUGGUGAGUCAUCUUGCUUUGGAUUGAGAGCUUCUCUGCUUGAAAAUCUUCAAUAAACUGAACAUAAACAAAA